RNAcentral lists this transfer RNA (65 nucleotides) under Cryptolaemus montrouzieri. RNAcentral describes it as "tRNA-Phe". The record is from RNAcentral. Lineage: Eukaryota; Metazoa; Arthropoda; Insecta; Coleoptera; Coccinellidae.
AUUUAUAUAGCUUAAAUAAAGAGCAUGAUAUUGAAGAUAUCAAGGUAAUUUAAAAUUUAUAAAUA